UACGUAGGGUGCGAGCGUUGUCCGGAAUUAUUGGGCGUAAAGAGCUCGUAGGCGGUCUGUCGCGUCGGCUGUGAAAACUCGGGGCUCAACCCCGAGCCUGCAGCCGAUACGGGCAGACUAGAGUUCGGCAGGGGAGACUGGAAUUCCUGGUGUAGCGGUGAAAUGCGCAGAUAUCAGGAGGAACACCGGUGGCGAAGGCGGGUCUCUGGGCCGAUACUGACGCUGAGGAGCGAAAGCGUGGGGAGCGAACAGGAUUAGAUACCCCCGUAGUCC
Molecule: ribosomal RNA, 273 nt
Filed under: uncultured bacterium
Lineage: Bacteria
Description: partial 16S ribosomal RNA
Rfam family: Bacterial small subunit ribosomal RNA
Source: RNAcentral